UUUAUCAUAGUAACGAAGUUA
This 21-nucleotide non-coding RNA is filed under the name Caenorhabditis elegans. The record is from RNAcentral. Lineage: Eukaryota; Metazoa; Nematoda; Chromadorea; Rhabditida; Rhabditidae.